RNAcentral lists this ribosomal RNA (460 nucleotides) under uncultured bacterium. RNAcentral describes it as "partial 16S ribosomal RNA". It matches the Rfam family "Bacterial small subunit ribosomal RNA", at positions 338 to 795 of the family's 1533-position model. The record is from RNAcentral.
CCUACGGGAGGCUGCAGUGAGGAAUAUUGGUCAAUGGACGCAAGUCUGAACCAGCCAUGCCGCGUGCAGGAUGACGGCUCUAUGAGUUGUAAACUGCUUUUGUACGAGGGUAAACCCCGAUACGUGUAUUCGGUUGAAAGUAUCGUACGAAUAAGGAUCGGCUAACUCCGUGCCAGCAGCCGCGGUAAUACGGAGGAUCCUAGCGUUAUCCGGAUUUAUUGGGUUUAAAGGGAGCGUAGGCGGUUUGAUAAGUUAGAGGUGAAAUGUCCGGGCUCAACCCGGAAACUGCCUCUAAUACUGUUGAACUAGAGAGUAGAUGCGGUAGGCGGAAUGUAUGGUGUAGCGGUGAAAUGCUUAGAGAUCAUACAGAACACCGAUUGCGAAGGCAGCUUACCAAUCUAUAUCUGACGUUGAGGCACGAAAGCGUGGGUAGCAAACAGGAUUAGAUACCCUAGUAGUC